UUUCCUAUAGUGGCCAUGCUAGCUGCUGCUUUCAAUAGUGUGUUCCACACAGUUCCAGUGGAUUCUGAAGAUGAUUAGUAGAAUUGAUGCUUCCAGACAAGAAUAAGUGAAUAACCCCUUAAAAGCCACUGAGAAGUGAGAAAGCAACCUCAGCUAACCUAACCUCUCCAUGAUUGCAUCAAUUCCCACAGGCUUGGAUUAUUCUGUCAGCGCAUUUCUUGAUGAGAGAAAAAUGAUACAAUCAAUUGCUAUGCUUUUUUCAGGUCCUGUGAGUGUCAUUAGCAGCUAAUUCUUUGGCGUGCAAUCCAUCUGAGACACUAUGUGCUCCAAUCACGUCCUUUUCAACGUAAUAGGAGAUGCAGACAAAGUUUUCUGGUGGUAUGAAAUUGAACAUGAAAG
Molecule: long non-coding RNA, 399 nt
Filed under: Glycine max (soybean)
Lineage: Eukaryota; Viridiplantae; Streptophyta; Magnoliopsida; Fabales; Fabaceae
Description: long non-coding RNA (GMAX_LNC003314)
Source: RNAcentral